RNAcentral lists this ribosomal RNA (466 nucleotides) under uncultured bacterium. RNAcentral describes it as "partial 16S ribosomal RNA". It matches the Rfam family "Bacterial small subunit ribosomal RNA", at positions 28 to 507 of the family's 1533-position model. The record is from RNAcentral.
GAUGAACGCUGGCGGCGUGCUUAACACAUGCAAGUCGAACGGAAAGGCCCAAGCUUGCUUGGGUGCUCGAGUGGCGAACGGGUGAGUAACACGUGGGUGAUCUGCCCUGCACUUUGGGAUAAGCCUGGGAAACUGGGUCUAAUACCGGAUAGGACCAUCGUUUAGUGUCGGUGGUGGAAAGUUUUUCGGUGUGGGAUGAGCUCGCGGCCUAUCAGCUUGUUGGUGGGGUAAUGGCCUACCAAGGCGUCGACGGGUAGCCGGCCUGAGAGGGUGUACGGCCACAUUGGGACUGAGAUACGGCCCAGACUCCUACGGGAGGCAGCAGUGGGGAAGAUUGCACAAUGGGCGCAAGCCUGAUGCAGCGACGCCGCGUGGGGGAGGACGGCCUUCGGGUUGUAAACUCCUUUCGCCAAGGACGAAGCGUUUUGUGACGGUACUUGGAGAAGAAGCACCGGCUAACUACGUG